UUUUAUGAGAGUUUGAUCCUGGCUCAGGACGAACGCUGGCGGCGUGCCUAAUACAUGCAAGUCGAACGCUUCUUUUUCCACCGGAGCUUGCUCCACCGGAAAAAGAGGAGUGGCGAACGGGUGAGUAACACGUGGGUAACCUGCCCAUCAGAAGGGGAUAACACUUGGAAACAGGUGCUAAUACCGUAUAACAAUCGAAACCGCAUGGUUUUGAUUUGAAAGGCGCUUUCGGGUGUCGCUGAUGGAUGGACCCGCGGUGCAUUAGCUAGUUGGUGAGGUAACGGCUCACCAAGGCCACGAUGCAUAGCCGACCUGAGAGGGUGAUCGGCCACAUUGGGACUGAGACACGGCCCAAACUCCUACGGGAGGCAGCAGUAGGGAAUCUUCGGCAAUGGACGAAAGUCUGACCGAGCAACGCCGCGUGAGUGAAGAAGGUUUUCGGAUCGUAAAACUCUGUUGUUAGAGAAGAACAAGGAUGAGAGUAACUGUUCAUCCCUUGACGGUAUCUAACCAGAAAGCCACGGCUAACUACGUGCCAGCAGCCGCGGUAAUACGUAGGUGGCAAGCGUUGUCCGGAUUUAUUGGGCGUAAAGCGAGCGCAGGCGGUUUCUUAAGUCUGAUGUGAAAGCCCCCGGCUCAACCGGGGAGGGUCAUUGGAAACUGGGAGACUUGAGUGCAGAAGAGGAGAGUGGAAUUCCAUGUGUAGCGGUGAAAUGCGUAGAUAUAUGGAGGAACACCAGUGGCGAAGGCGGCUCUCUGGUCUGUAACUGACGCUGAGGCUCGAAAGCGUGGGGAGCAAACAGGAUUAGAUACCCUGGUAGUCCACGCCGUAAACGAUGAGUGCUAAGUGUUGGAGGGUUUCCGCCCUUCAGUGCUGCAGCUAACGCAUUAAGCACUCCGCCUGGGGAGUACGACCGCAAGGUUGAAACUCAAAGGAAUUGACGGGGGCCCGCACAAGCGGUGGAGCAUGUGGUUUAAUUCGAAGCAACGCGAAGAACCUUACCAGGUCUUGACAUCCUUUGACCACUCUAGAGAUAGAGCUUCCCCUUCGGGGGCAAAGUGACAGGUGGUGCAUGGUUGUCGUCAGCUCGUGUCGUGAGAUGUUGGGUUAAGUCCCGCAACGAGCGCAACCCUUAUUGUUAGUUGCCAUCAUUCAGUUGGGCACUCUAGCAAGACUGCCGGUGACAAACCGGAGGAAGGUGGGGAUGACGUCAAAUCAUCAUGCCCCUUAUGACCUGGGCUACACACGUGCU
RNAcentral lists this ribosomal RNA (1253 nucleotides) under Enterococcus faecium. Its description in RNAcentral is "bacterial SSU rRNA". It matches the Rfam family "Bacterial small subunit ribosomal RNA", at positions 1 to 1226 of the family's 1533-position model. Lineage: Bacteria; Bacillati; Bacillota; Bacilli; Lactobacillales; Enterococcaceae. The record is from RNAcentral.